RNAcentral lists this ribosomal RNA (148 nucleotides) under uncultured archaeon. RNAcentral's name for it is "partial 16S ribosomal RNA". It matches the Rfam family "Archaeal small subunit ribosomal RNA", at positions 325 to 474 of the family's 1478-position model. The record is from RNAcentral.
ACGGGGUGCAGCAGGCGCGAAAACUUGACAAUGCGAGCAAUCGUGAUCAGGGGACUCCAAUUGGAUCAAUUAAUUUUGAGCUCUGAACCGACUCUAAAUAGGUCGGGUAAUAGGGGCGGGAAAUAUCGGUGCCAGCCGCCGCGGUAAA